GUCUAAAAUACAUCAUCCUGAAUGCGCAUUCAAACAUAUCAUGAUAUUUCUCUUACACAGUUUCAAAUAUUUUUAAUAAUGUUCCCUGCCUGAAGGAUCGAUUGAGCUUCACAUUUUUUUCUACAUUAUACAUUAGCAUUUGUCACAUUUAGGGAGGAAAAAAAUUAAAUAUAUUAAAGCAAAGAUUGGCAAACUAUAGCCUGCCUGAAGUCAUCUAUU
RNAcentral lists this long non-coding RNA (219 nucleotides) under Pan troglodytes (chimpanzee). RNAcentral's name for it is "long non-coding RNA NONPTRT017737". The record is from RNAcentral. Lineage: Eukaryota; Metazoa; Chordata; Mammalia; Primates; Hominidae.